AUUGAACGCUGGCGGCAUGCCUUACACAUGCAAGUCGAACGGCAGCGGGGGAGAAGCUUGCUUUUCCUGCCGGCGAGUGGCGAACGGGUGAGUAAUACAUCGGAACGUGCCCCGUAGUGGGGGAUAACUAGUCGAAAGAUUAGCUAAUACCGCAUACGACCUGAGGGUGAAAGGGGGGGACCGCAAGGCCUCAUGCUAUAGGAGCGGCCGAUGUCUGAUUAGCUAGUUGGUGGGGUAAAGGCCUACCAAGGCGACGAUCAGUAGCUGGUCUGAGAGGACGAUCAGCCACACUGGGACUGGGACACGGCCCAGACUCCUACGGGAGGCAGCAGUGGGGAAUUUUGGACAAUGGGCGAAAGCCUGAUCCAGCAAUGCCGCGUGUGUGAAGAAGGCCUUCGGGUUGUAAAGCACUUUUGUCCGGAAAGAAAUGGCUCUGGUUAAUACCUGGGGUCGAUGACGGUACCGGAAGAAUAAGGACCGGUUAACUACGUGCCAGCCGCCGCCGUAA
RNAcentral lists this ribosomal RNA (508 nucleotides) under uncultured bacterium. RNAcentral's name for it is "partial 16S ribosomal RNA". It matches the Rfam family "Bacterial small subunit ribosomal RNA", at positions 30 to 523 of the family's 1533-position model. The record is from RNAcentral.